RNAcentral lists this ribosomal RNA (800 nucleotides) under Aurantiochytrium sp. RNAcentral describes it as "partial small subunit ribosomal RNA". It matches the Rfam family "Eukaryotic small subunit ribosomal RNA", at positions 937 to 1735 of the family's 1831-position model. Lineage: Eukaryota; Bigyra; Thraustochytrida; Thraustochytriidae. The record is from RNAcentral.
AAUAUAGAGGGAGGCCAUUUCACACAUAUUUUUAUAUAUACAAAAAAGAAAUUUGGGGAUCGAGAGAUAUUAAACCCUGUAUUUUGACCCUGAAAAGAUGCCGACCUGCGAUUUUUGGGGGUUUUUUAAGGGCCUUAACCACCAGCCCAGGGGAAAUCAAAGUUUUUGGUUUCCGGGGGAAGAAUGUUGCCAAGGUGGAAACUUAAGGGAAUGGAGGGAAGGCCCCCCCCGGGGGGGAGCCCGCGGGUUAAAUUUGACUCACCCGGGGAAAAUUUCCCGGUCCCAACAAAAGGUAGGAUUGCCAAAUUGGAGGUUUUUUCAGGUUUUAAGGGGGGGGGGGCCAGGCCCUUUUUUAGUGGGGGGGGGAAUUUUUUGGGUAAAUUCCGUAAAGGAAGGGACCUUGGCCCUAUAAAAAAGGGGGGGGAAGGGAAAAAAAGUCGUUUUUAACUUUUUAAAGGGACAUUUCCGGUUUACGGGCAGGAAGUUUGGGGCAAUAACCGGUUUUGGAAGCCCUUAAAAGUUUUGGGCCGCCCGGGGGGUACCAUGAAGGGUUUAUUGGGUUUUAAUUUUAAUUUUUGGAAUUGAGUGCUUGGUCGGAAGGCCUGGCUAAUCCUUGGAACGCUCAUCGUGCUGGGGCUAGAUUUUUGCAAUUAUUAAUCUCCAACGAGGAAUUCCUAGUAAACGCAAGUCAUCAGCUUGCAUUGAAUACGUCCCUGCCCUUUGUACACACCGCCCGUCGCACCUACCGAUUGAACGGUCCGAUGAAACCAUGGGAUGCAAGUGUUGGGAUUGAUUUUGGA